GACGAACGCUGGCGGCGUGCUUAACACAUGCAAGUCGAACGGAAAGGCCCUGCUUUUUUGGGGUGCUCGAGUGGCGAACGGGUGAGUAACACGUGAGUAACCUGCCCUUGACUUUGGGAUAACUUCAGGAAAGUGGGGCUAAUACCGGAUAGGAGCUCCUGCUGCAUGGUGGGGGUGGGAAAGUUUCGGCGGUUGGGGAUGGACUCGCGGCUUAUCAGCUUGUUGGUGGGGUAGUGGCUUACCAAGGCUUUGACGGGUAGCCGGCCUGAGAGGGUAACCGGCCACAUUAGGCCUGAGAUACGGCCCAGACUACUACGGUAGGCAGCGGUGGAGAAUAUUGUACAGUGGGCGGGAGCCUGAUGCAACAACGCCGCGUGCGGUAUGACGGCAAUGGGGUUGUAAACCGCAUUCGGCUGACACGAAGCGUGAGUGACGGUACCGGGUGAAGAAGCACCGGCUAACUACGUG
Molecule: ribosomal RNA, 468 nt
Filed under: uncultured bacterium
Lineage: Bacteria
Description: partial 16S ribosomal RNA
Rfam family: Bacterial small subunit ribosomal RNA
Source: RNAcentral